CUUGGUAACCAUAGAGUAUUAGAACCACCUGAUCCCAUUCCGAACUCAGUAGUGAAAUGAUACAUCGCCGAUGGUAGUGUGGGGUAUCCCCAUGUGAGAGUAGGUCAUUGCCAGGC
RNAcentral lists this ribosomal RNA (116 nucleotides) under Endozoicomonas sp. (ex Bugula neritina AB1). Lineage: Bacteria; Pseudomonadati; Pseudomonadota; Gammaproteobacteria; Oceanospirillales; Endozoicomonadaceae. The record is from RNAcentral.